This 1050-nucleotide ribosomal RNA is filed under the name Triticum aestivum (bread wheat). RNAcentral's name for it is "partial small subunit ribosomal RNA". The record is from RNAcentral. Lineage: Eukaryota; Viridiplantae; Streptophyta; Magnoliopsida; Poales; Poaceae.
AUGUUCCACUUGGUGAGCAACUUCAAGAAGAAGUUUACUGGAAAAGUAUUUGAUGACCACCUAUGGGCAGCUGCUUACUCAUGGAACACAUAUAUAUUUGACAAGAAUUGGGCUGCAAUGGAGGCAGUAAAGCCAGCCGCAAUAGCAUAUAUUAGGAAGUGGCACAAUAGGUUGUGGUCUAGGAGUCAGUUCUCGACCAUAUGCAAGGUGGACUAUGUAACCAACAACUUGGCGGAGUGCUUUAACAAUUGGAUCAAGCACCACAAGUCAUUGAACUUGGACAAGGCGAGGCAGCUGAUUAUGAUCUUGUGGAAUGAUAGGAGAAAAGUAGCAAAGAAGUUAGAUGGAUUGAUUCUACCCCACAUAAUGAAGAACUUAAACGCAUUGACUAGAGAAUUCAACUUGGAGGUGGUAGAAUGCUUAGAAGAAGUGGCUGAAGUGGUUGCAUUAGGAGGCAGCGGUUUUAGACCAUCCUAUUCCAACCUGAUCCCUGCUAUGCCUGACAAGAGCCAAUGGCCUGAAUCUGACCAUGGAUUUUUCAUGCAUCCACCACUAAUUAAAGCUACAGCUAGCAGGCCUAAAACUGAGAGAUAUAAAGGUUGUAGUGACAAGAAAAGAAAAAAGGGCAAGCACUUAUGUCCAAUUUGUAAGGAAUAUGGGCAUCAUUGGCACAACUGUAAGAAGGGUAACCCUGAUGACAUUGCUGCAAUGUUGGCUAUUAGAGAACCACCAAAGAAGAGGGCAAAGACUAGCAAAACAGCCCAAUCCAUUGUGCCUUGCAAGGAUGGAGCACCAACAAGGAUGCUUUUUCCACCACCAAGUCAAAGCUUGGAAACUACAACUAAGAAAAAGAGAAAACAUGACAACACUGAAUCUGGAGGUUCAAAGAGAUCAAAAACUCGCUCCAUUGAGAAGGCCAAGACGAAAAAGAAGGUUGUUGAGAAGAGUCCGGUGCCACUUGAUAGCCCAGCAAUGGGCACAAGGAGCAGAAAGUUUAAUCCUCCUAGCCCUGCUAUGAGCACAAGAAGCAAAAGAAGGCUCGGCUUGUAA